AAUAUAGUGAAUUGAGUAAACAGAAAACCUUUGGGCAUAUUCUAAACCACAUGAUCACAUCAGUGCCCCUCACUGAAACGGCAUUAACUUGGAAUGAAGUUUGCACAGGCACAAGAAUCCGUGUGGGCCAGCUUGCAAAAUAGGAGCACUGGUUUAGAUUAAUGUGGUAGAGGGCAUGUGUGUUUCUUUCCUUCCAGCGACUAUUUGUCUGGAGAAUUUUCUGCUGCUUUAUAUUAUUCUGGCUAUUGAUCCAGAACAGAACAUGAUAGAAUCUUUGGGCCUCACCCUAUGUCAAGAUAAAUAACAGAGUUGCGCUGUCUUCAUUAGCUCUGCGCUGAUUUACAGGGCCGAUCCUCAAGCCUCUUUUCUAAAAGACAAGAGAAUUAGAAGAGCAUUGUGGAAUGUUGCAGGGAGACAUUAAAGCAGGAGGAUCUGUGACUUUGAAUUUACUUUGAACUAAGGUUUUCUUCUAUCUCCAAUAAUAGAUAAUUCUCCUAAGGAGUUUACUACAUGUGCUUCAAUGGCAUACUUAAAAUCUCCUACAUGGAAAUUAUCCUCAUAGAGACCUGAUGUUCCUGAUCCGACAAAGAAGAGAUAAUGAACAGUAAUAUCACAAAAGAGACAGAUAUCUGCCACUCAAGCUAAUGAAGUAGGUUUGGUAGAAAACCAGCGAGUUGCCUUCCUCUGUACAGACUGUACAGACUUAGUUUUUGAGGGAGAAGGUCUUGGCGCAACUGAAAGGACGUGUCAUCAUUCUCCUUGCCAGCAGCCCAGGGAAAAGAUUUACAAGAACAUAUAUGGGAAUUUCUGUCAAUGUCAUCUUCAAAAUGCUGCCAAAGAACGUAGGUGUGGCUUUGACUUCAAAUCAGUGCAAGACAUAACUGAGAAUACCUAACUGCUUCUUUAGCCGGUAAAGA
Dromaius novaehollandiae (emu) is the source of this 917-nucleotide long non-coding RNA. The record is from Ensembl. NCBI's taxonomy places the organism in Eukaryota, Metazoa, Chordata, Aves, Casuariiformes, Dromaiidae.